AGCUUUGCGCAGUGGCAUUAUUGUAGCCAAUGAGGUUUAUCCGAAGUGCGAUUAUUGCUAAUUGAAAACAAAUGAAACCCUCCUACACAUAUGAAGAGCCCAGAAAUUAUUUGUUCUCCCUGUUUUUUUCUUCAUAUUGCCCACCCUCCACAAUCUUAUUCAAAAAAGG
Molecule: small nuclear RNA, 169 nt
Filed under: Canis lupus familiaris (dog)
Lineage: Eukaryota; Metazoa; Chordata; Mammalia; Carnivora; Canidae
Description: U4 spliceosomal RNA (ENSCAFG00030015545.1, ENSCAFG00805017097.1, ENSCAFG00845021102.1)
Rfam family: U4 spliceosomal RNA (bases 1-82)
Source: RNAcentral